RNAcentral lists this ribosomal RNA (625 nucleotides) under Salmonella enterica. RNAcentral describes it as "partial 23S ribosomal RNA". It matches the Rfam family "Bacterial large subunit ribosomal RNA", at positions 1 to 666 of the family's 2925-position model. The record is from RNAcentral. Lineage: Bacteria; Pseudomonadati; Pseudomonadota; Gammaproteobacteria; Enterobacterales; Enterobacteriaceae. RNAcentral also lists the same sequence under 2 other names.
GGUUAAGCGACUAAGCGUACACGGUGGAUGCCCUGGCAGUCAGAGGCGAUGAAGGGCGUGCUAAUCUGCGAUAAGCGCCGGUAAGGUGAUAUGAACCGUUAUAACCGGCGAUACCCGAAUGGGGAAACCCAGUGUGAUUCGUCACACUAUCAUUAACUGAAUCCAUAGGUUAAUGAGGCGAACCGGGGGAACUGAAACAUCUAAGUACCCCGAGGAAAAGAAAUCAACCGAGAUUCCCCCAGUAGCGGCGAGCGAACGGGGAGGAGCCCAGAGCCUGAAUCAGCAUGUGUGUUAGUGGAAGCGUCUGGAAAGGCGCGCGAUACAGGGUGACAGCCCCGUACACAAAAGCGCAUGUGUUGUGAGCUCGAUGAGUAGGGCGGGACACGUGGUAUCCUGUCUGAAUAUGGGGGGACCAUCCUCCAAGGCUAAAUACUCCUGACUGACCGAUAGUGAACCAGUACCGUGAGGGAAAGGCGAAAAGAACCCCGGCGAGGGGAGUGAAAAAGAACCUGAAACCGUGUACGUACAAGCAGUGGGAGCACAGGUUUACCUGUGUGACUGCGUACCUUUUGUAUAAUGGGUCAGCGACUUAUAUUCUGUAGCAAGGUUAACCGUAUAGGGGAGC